GCCUCCGUGGUGUAACGGUAGCACACUCGGCGCGUAUUCGAGAGGUCCAGGUUCGAGUCCCGGCGAGGGCA
Molecule: transfer RNA, 71 nt
Filed under: Stegodyphus mimosarum
Lineage: Eukaryota; Metazoa; Arthropoda; Arachnida; Araneae; Eresidae
Rfam family: tRNA
About the family: Transfer RNA (tRNA) molecules are approximately 80 nucleotides in length. Their secondary structure includes four short double-helical elements and three loops (D, anti-codon, and T loops).
Source: Rfam by way of RNAcentral